RNAcentral lists this ribosomal RNA (435 nucleotides) under Burkholderia sp. Ms320PL. RNAcentral describes it as "bacterial SSU rRNA". It matches the Rfam family "Bacterial small subunit ribosomal RNA", at positions 154 to 584 of the family's 1533-position model. The record is from RNAcentral. Lineage: Bacteria; Pseudomonadati; Pseudomonadota; Betaproteobacteria; Burkholderiales; Burkholderiaceae.
AAAGCCGGAUUAAUACCGCAUACGCUCUACGGAGGAAAGGGGGGGAUCUUAGGACCUCUCGUUAUAGGGGCGGCCGAUGGCAGAUUAUCUAGUUGGUGGGGUAAAGGCCUACCAAGGCGACGAUCUGUAGCUGGUCUGAGAGGACGACCAGCCACACUGGGACUGAGACACGGCCCUUUUUCCUACGGGAGGCAGCAGUGGGGAAUUUUGGACAAUGGGCGCAAGCCUGAUCCAGCAAUGCCGCGUGUGUGAAGAAGGCCUUCGGGUUGUAAAGCACUUUUGUCCGGAAAGAAAACCUCUGGGUUAAUACCCCGGGGGGAUGACGGUACCGGAAGAAUAAGCACCGGCUAACUACGUGCCAGCAGCCGCGGUAAUACGUAGGGUGCAAGCGUUAAUCGGAAUUACUGGGCGUAAAGCGUGCGCAGGCGGUUCGCU